UGUUGCACAGGCUUUGAAAUCGACUCUUUAAGUGAAAUACAAAAAAAUUUAAGUAAUCGUUAGCCACGCCUCUCGUCUGAAAGUAACCAGAACACAAAUAUGGAAAUAUCAAUUUGAUUUUGAAUGGGAUUGUUCGAUGGGCAAGCUAGGUUACCAAAGAUCAACUACUGUUCGUUACAUAGCUGAGUAUAUUCUUUAAAACUUUAGUUUGAACGGUUAUUCAUAUAGGAAAGAAAACAAAAAAUUAUCAACCGGUUGUGCCUGGCUAAAUUUUAACUAAAAAUUGUUAAGAUUUUCCGGCAAAUAGAAGCCUUUUGCAGCAUUGAGCCUCUUAUUAUAUUUUAGUAUCUCCAAUAAAAAAUACGCCCCAUGUUGUUCUACCUCUGAUUAUAGUUUUGGUUCGAGAA
This 407-nucleotide long non-coding RNA is filed under the name Hermetia illucens (black soldier fly). RNAcentral's name for it is "uncharacterized LOC119655836, transcript variant X1". The record is from RNAcentral. Lineage: Eukaryota; Metazoa; Arthropoda; Insecta; Diptera; Stratiomyidae.